RNAcentral lists this ribosomal RNA (732 nucleotides) under Agromyces sp. RNAcentral's name for it is "bacterial SSU rRNA". It matches the Rfam family "Bacterial small subunit ribosomal RNA", at positions 137 to 876 of the family's 1533-position model. The record is from RNAcentral. Lineage: Bacteria; Bacillati; Actinomycetota; Actinomycetes; Micrococcales; Microbacteriaceae.
UCUGGGAUAACCCCGAGAAAUCGGAGCUAAUACCGGAUAGGACCUGGAACCGCAUGGUUUUGGGUGGAAAGUUUUUCGGUCUGGGAUGGACUCGCGGCCUAUCAGCUUGUUGGUGAGGUAAUGGCUCACCAAGGCGUCGACGGGUAGCCGGCCUGAGAGGGUGACCGGCCACACUGGGACUGAGACACGGCCCAGACUCCUACGGGAGGCAGCAGUGGGGAAUAUUGCACAAUGGGCGCAAGCCUGAUGCAGCAACGCCGCGUGAGGGAUGACGGCCUUCGGGUUGUAAACCUCUUUUAGUAAGGAAGAAGGGCCUUCGGGCUUGACGGUACUUGCAGAAAAAGCACCGGCUAACUACGUGCCAGCAGCCGCGGUAAUACGUAGGGUGCGAGCGUUGUCCGGAAUUAUUGGGCGUAAAGAGCUCGUAGGCGGUUUGUCACGUCUGCUGUGAAAUCCCGAGGCUCAACCUCGGGCCUGCAGUGGGUACGGGCAGACUGGAGUGCGGUAGGGGAGAAUGGAAUUCCUGGUGUAGCGGUGGAAUGCGCAGAUAUCAGGAGGAACACCGAUGGCGAAGGCAGUUCUCUGGGCCGUAACUGACGCUGAGGAGCGAAAGCGUGGGGAGCGAACAGGAUUAGAUACCCUGGUAGUCCACGCCGUAAACGUUGGGCGCUAGAUGUGGGGACCUUUCCACGGUUUCCGUGUCGUAGCUAACGCAUUAAGCGCCCCGCCUGG